UACUGGGCGUAAAGGGUGUGUAGGAGGUCGGAAAAGUCGAAUGUGAAAUCCCUCUGCCUAACGGAGGAACUGCGUUCGAAACUGUCUGGCUAGAGGUUCGGAUGGGGAAGCGGAACUCUCGGUGUAGCAGUGAAAUGCGUAGAUAUCGAGAGGAACACCGGUGGCGAAGGCGGCUUCCUGGACGAAACCUGACUCUGAAACACGAAAGCUAGGGGAGCAAACGGGAUUAGAUACCCCGGUAGUCCUAGCUGUAAACGGUGUGCGCUAGGUGUUGGCGGAUUCGACCCCGCCGGUGCCGAAGCUAACGCAUUAAACGCACCGCCUGAGGAGUACGGUCGCAAGGCUAAAACUCAAAGAAAUUGACGGGGGCCCGCACAAGCGGUGGAGCAUGUGGCUUAAUUCGAUGCAACGCGAAGAACCUUACCUACCCUUGACAUCCUCGGAACUUGUCAGAGAUGACUUGGUGCCUUCGGGAACCGAGAGACAGGUGCUGCAUGGCUGUCGUCAGCUCGUGUUGUGAAAUGUUGGGUUAAGUCCCGUAACGAGCGCAACCCUUAUCCUUAGUUGCCAGCGAGUAAUGUCGGGAACUCUAGGGAGACUGCCGGUGAUAAACCGGAGGAAGGUGGGGAUGACGUCAAGUCCUCAUGGCCCUUAUGGGUAGGGCUACACACGUCAUACAAUGGGCGGUACAGAGGGUUGCCAACCCGUGAGGGGGAGCCAAUCCCUUAAAACCGCUCGUAGUCCGGAUUGUAGUCUGCAACUCGACUGCAUGAAGUCGGAAUCGCUAGUAAUUGUCGG
RNAcentral lists this ribosomal RNA (798 nucleotides) under uncultured bacterium. RNAcentral describes it as "bacterial SSU rRNA". It matches the Rfam family "Bacterial small subunit ribosomal RNA", at positions 552 to 1348 of the family's 1533-position model. The record is from RNAcentral.